UACGUAGGUGGCAAGCGUUGUCCGGAAUUAUUGGGCGUAAAGCGCGCGCAGGCGGUCCUUUAAGUCUGAUGUGAAAGCCCACGGCUCAACCGUGGAGGGUCAUUGGAAACUGGGGGACUUGAGUACAGAAGAGGAAAGCGGAAUUCCACGUGUAGCGGUGAAAUGCGUAGAGAUGUGGAGGAACACCAGUGGCGAAGGCGACACGCUGGGCCAUACCUGACGCUAAAGCGCGACAGCAUGGGGAGCAAACGGG
RNAcentral lists this ribosomal RNA (253 nucleotides) under uncultured bacterium. RNAcentral's name for it is "partial 16S ribosomal RNA". It matches the Rfam family "Bacterial small subunit ribosomal RNA", at positions 524 to 776 of the family's 1533-position model. The record is from RNAcentral.